RNAcentral lists this long non-coding RNA (351 nucleotides) under Nicotiana benthamiana. RNAcentral describes it as "long non-coding RNA (NBEN_LNC003781)". The record is from RNAcentral. Lineage: Eukaryota; Viridiplantae; Streptophyta; Magnoliopsida; Solanales; Solanaceae.
AGAGGACCAUGCGCUCCACCAGCUUUCUCACUAGAAAUCGUAUGUUCUCUUCUCAAACCAGCUUUGUAAUCAGUAUAUUGAUUCAUCCCCUUGUACAAUUUCUCAUCCCCACCAGCCUUACUUUUUCCUUUCAAGGCCUCCUCUGCCUGCUUCAAAGCUCUCUCCCGAAUGGCCCGGGCAUCCUUAGAGAACUCGGUUUCAGUUUCUAAGGUAGCUCUUGCUUUUUCCUUUCAAAGCCUCCUCUGCCUGCUUCAAAGCUCUCUCCCGAAUGGCCCGGGCAUCCUUAGAGAACUCGGUCUCAGUUUCUAAAGUGGCUGUUGCUCUACUAUCAGUUUGAACUUGAAUUUCUUU